This 465-nucleotide ribosomal RNA is filed under the name Vreelandella stevensii. RNAcentral's name for it is "partial 16S ribosomal RNA". It matches the Rfam family "Bacterial small subunit ribosomal RNA", at positions 338 to 795 of the family's 1533-position model. The record is from RNAcentral. Lineage: Bacteria; Pseudomonadati; Pseudomonadota; Gammaproteobacteria; Oceanospirillales; Halomonadaceae.
CCUACGGGCGGCAGCAGUGGGGAAUAUUGGACAAUGGGGGGAACCCUGAUCCAGCCAUGCCGCGUGUGUGAAGAUGGCCCUCGGGUUGUAAAGCACUUUCAGUGAGGAAGAACGCCUGGUGGUUAAUACCCAUCAGGAAAGACAUCACUCACAGAAGAAGCACCGGCUAACUCCGUGCCAGCAGCCGCGGUAAUACGGAGGGUGCGAGCGUUAAUCGGAAUUACUGGGCGUAAAGCGCGCGUAGGUGGCUUGAUAAGCCGGUUGUGAAAGCCCCGGGCUCAACCUGGGAACGGCAUCCGGAACUGUCAAGCUAGAGUGCAGGAGAGGAAGGUAGAAUUCCCGGUGUAGCGGUGAAAUGCGUAGAGAUCGGGAGGAAUACCAGUGGCGAAGGCGGCCUUCUGGACUGACACUGACACUGAGGUGCGAAAGCGUGGGUAGCAAACAGGAUUAGAUACCCGAGUAGUC